Molecule: ribosomal RNA, 465 nt
Filed under: uncultured bacterium
Lineage: Bacteria
Description: partial 16S ribosomal RNA
Rfam family: Bacterial small subunit ribosomal RNA
Source: RNAcentral
CCUACGGUAGGCAGCAGUAGGGAAUCUUCCACAAUGGGCGAAAGCCUGAUGGAGCAACGCCGCGUGGGUGAAGAAGGUCUUCGGAUCGUAAAACCCUGUUGUUAGAGAAGACAGUGCGUGAGAGUAACUGUUCACGUUUCGACGGUAUCUAACCAGAACGCCACGGCUAACUACGUACCAGCAGCCGCGGUAAUACGUAGGUGGUAAGCGUUAUCCGGAUUUAUUGGGCGUAAAGGGAACGCAGGCGGUCUUUUAAGGAUGAUGGGAAAGCCUUCGGCUUAACCGGAGUAGUGCAUUGGAAACUGGGAGACUUGAGUGCAGAAGAGGAGGGUGGAACUCCAUGUGUAGCGGUGAAAUGCGUAGAUAUAUGGAAGAACACCAGUGGCGAAAGCGGCUCUCUGGUCUGUAACUGACGCUGAGGUUCGAAAGCGUGGGUAGCAAACAGGAGUAGAUACCCGGGUAGUC